CGUCCCUGAAAGAAACACAUGUUAGCUGGAAAAAAAUUGUUAUUUGUGCAGCCAAACACCUUGCACCAGGGUAUCUCUUCUCUUGAACUACGUAAAGAAAACGAAUGUUUGAGGAGUAGUAACCCAUAAAGAAGUAAACUACUAAAUACAAACUAAAUGUAACUAAUUACGGAAGUGGAAAUAUAGACGUUUGGAAAUCAUAAUGCAUAAUUAAUUUAACAACUCUUCAACACUGACCUUUGAAAGAAAAGCAUG
This is a long non-coding RNA of Hyposmocoma kahamanoa, 255 nucleotides long. RefSeq lists it as uncharacterized. The transcript has 3 exons. NCBI's taxonomy places the organism in Eukaryota, Metazoa, Arthropoda, Insecta, Lepidoptera, Cosmopterigidae. The record is from RefSeq and is a predicted model, not a curated record.